GAUGAACGCUGGCGGCGUGCCUAAUACAUGCAAGUCGAGCGAACAGACGAGGAGCUUGCUCCUUUGACGUUAGCGGCGGACGGGUGAGUAACACGUGGAUAACCUACCUAUAAGACUGGGAUAACUUCGGGAAACCGGAGCUAAUACCGGAUAACAUGUUGAACCGCAUGGUUCAACAGUGAAAGACGGUCUUGCUGUCACUUAUAGAUGGAUCCGCGCCGCAUUAGCUAGUUGGUAAGGUAACGGCUUACCAAGGCAACGAUGCGUAGCCGACCUGAGAGGGUGAUCGGCCACACUGGAACUGAGACACGGUCCAGACUCCUACGGGAGGCAGCAGUAGGGAAUAUUCCGCAAUGGGCGAAAGCCUGACGGAGCAACGCCGCGUGAGUGAAGAAGGUCUUCGGAUCGUAAAACUCUGUUAUUAGGGAAGAACAAAUGUGUAAGUAACUAUGCACGUCUUGACGGUACCUAAUCAGAAAGCCACGGCUAACUACGUG
Molecule: ribosomal RNA, 497 nt
Filed under: uncultured bacterium
Lineage: Bacteria
Description: partial 16S ribosomal RNA
Rfam family: Bacterial small subunit ribosomal RNA
Source: RNAcentral